RNAcentral lists this ribosomal RNA (527 nucleotides) under fungal sp. MAY-2012. RNAcentral's name for it is "eukaryotic LSU rRNA". It matches the Rfam family "Eukaryotic large subunit ribosomal RNA", at positions 76 to 546 of the family's 3401-position model. Lineage: Eukaryota; Fungi. The record is from RNAcentral.
UCCCCUAGUAACGGCGAGUGAAGCGGGAAGAGCUCAAAUUUUAAAUCAGUGUGCCCUCCAGGCGCAUCUGAGUUGUAGUUUGAAGAGGCGUCUUCGCGUUCGUAACCGGCACAAGUCCUCUGGUACGAGGCGUCGUAGAGGGUGACAACCCCGUCCACGGCCGGCGCACCGGAUGCGUACGAUACGACCUCAAAGAGUCGAGUAGUUUGGGAUUGCUGCUCUAAACGGGUGGUAGGCUCCAUCUAAGGCUAAAUAAAGGCGAGAGACCGAUAGCGAACAAGUACCGUGAGGGAAAGAUGAAAAGAACUCUGGAGAGAGAGUUAAAAGUACGUGAAAUUGUUGAAAGGGAAACGCUUGAAGCCAGUCGUGUCGGUGGAAUAUCAACGGUAUGCGGGUGGAGGCUUUGCGUGCGGCAGGGUAAAACCGUCCGCGUGGAGUUCGAAGUUCGUUCGCUGUGCACUAUUCCGCAUGGCAGGCCAGCGUCGGUUUCGGACGCCGUAAAACGGCCGGGAAGGGAGUCCUCACAU